Molecule: long non-coding RNA, 525 nt
Organism: Canis lupus familiaris (dog)
Lineage: Eukaryota; Metazoa; Chordata; Mammalia; Carnivora; Canidae
Exons: 3
Source: RefSeq, a predicted model, not a curated record
AGAGGCAAAGAAAAAAAAGAAAAAAAAAAAGAAAGAAAGAAAGAAAGAAAAAGCGUGGUGCUUCUUCACUUGCCUGUCAGGUGGAUCAUUUGAAGGCGAGAAAAGUAAACCGAAGGAAGGAGAAGGAAUCGACGGUCCCAGCCGCGCCGGGUAUUCCUUGCUAUGUGGUGGGAUCGCAAUUACGGCUUCGUGGACGACUCAGUACUCUGUGCGGUGGCACCUCGAGGAACCCCUGGCCCUCGCAGGACCCCGGGCUCCUUGUCGUUGGCAGAGCCCGGAUUUUCCCCAGACCCCGGGCACCGGGCUUCACCACCUGCGUCUUUAUAGAGCUGUGAGCGCUCCCAGGAGCAAAGUCUCGACUCCUUCGGCGGCUGCCACGAGCAGGACUUCUCCACGCCCCAAAGACUGGACUUAACGCGGCUUCCUGGGUCGCGGGGCUGCAGCGUCUGCUCUCAGGCCCCAGGCCCAGGCCCCCGCCCCGGCCACCUCCGUCCGUUCCCGUCAGGGGCCACCUGCCCUGGGAGC